GCGAAGGUGGCGGAAUUGGUAGACGCGCUAGCUUCAGGUGUUAGUGUUCUUACGGACGUGGGGGUUCAAGUUCCCCCCCUCGCACCA
Molecule: transfer RNA, 87 nt
Filed under: Escherichia coli
Lineage: Bacteria; Pseudomonadati; Pseudomonadota; Gammaproteobacteria; Enterobacterales; Enterobacteriaceae
Also listed under: 2 other names
Description: tRNA-Leu
Rfam family: tRNA
About the family: Transfer RNA (tRNA) molecules are approximately 80 nucleotides in length.
Source: RNAcentral